AGGGAGAGGAGCCGUGGACAGGGAGGGGCCCGCGCGAACGCCCCCCGCUUUCCAUCCAGACUCAGGGUUCACCCGCGGCCUCUACACUCAGUAUCGCGUCCUGGCCUUUCUCUCCCCCCCGCCGUCAGCUUGGCUACUUCCACCCCCGAGCCCUCAUGCUGGACUUUUUUAAGAAGUUGGAGUGGGUCUAUUUCUGUUUGGGAGAUAGGGUGCCCUCCUCCCCUCGGAGGUGCUGGGGACAGGACAGGAGGGCCAACAGCGGGCACUGAUCCCUUUCCGCUGCGCACAGGCCAGGUCCAGGGUGAGCUGGGCAGGAGGACUGGGGGGGGGGGGUCCUACCUCCGACAGGGCACCAUCCUCCCUGAGAAUCCCAGUGAACACCCAACCAUCCCCACCCGCACCGGUGGGGUCAGGCUGGUCCCAGGCCUGACUGUCCUUUCUGGGUUGGGGAGGGGGGUAUCUACUGAUGCUGAAGGCCACAGAGGCCAUAGCUGCCCCUACCUGGGGACAAGUGGCUUCUCUAAUCAAGUAACCCCACCCACACCCCCAGGGAAAGGGCAGCAGAAAUGGGGCCCGCAGCUGGGGGAAUCCUGUCUUGGAAAAAUUGUGGACAGAACUGCAACGGGUAAUCCCCACCCAAGCCCACGGGUCCCCUCGUAUCCAUGGCCCUCCUCUGGGGUGCAGGUAGGGGAGUCAAGGCAUGGUCACCCGGCUGCGCUCUGCUGGGGGUGGAGAAGCUGUUUGUGCAGGGUAGACGCUCAGGGGCAAAGGAACCAAGGCGCGACAGGUCUGCCUGUGAAGCCAGGACGGCAGGGGGCCCCAAUCCCUUUUGUUUUCCUUGAAGGUGGGAAUGAAUCCUGGGUGUCCUCAGCCUGGGAGGGCGGGCAGAGGGGAAUGCGGAAGAAGAGGGCCUCGGGCUGGGGUUCUCCGUCCUCCACGCAGACCCUCAUCUCGCUGUCCCAGCCUGAGGCCGGCGCAGCCCUGCUCCCUGCACUGGGGCCCCCAUCUGCCCACCCCAAGGUUUCCCUGGCGUUGAGGCCAGAGACCCCCUCAGGGCUCCACCCCCAGGAUUCUGCUUUGGGUCAGUGCCCUCUCCUGCUCAGUCGCCGCCCCGGCGAAACCCGGGAGUAA
RNAcentral lists this long non-coding RNA (1131 nucleotides) under Canis lupus familiaris (dog). RNAcentral's name for it is "lncRNA (ENSCAFG00040010226.1)". Lineage: Eukaryota; Metazoa; Chordata; Mammalia; Carnivora; Canidae. The record is from RNAcentral.